AAUAAGGGCGUAUGGGGGAUGCCUUGGCUCUCAGAGAUGACGAAGGACGUGAUAAGCUGCGAAAAGCUACGGGGAGGUGCAAAUAACCUUUGAUCCGUAGAUGUCCGAAUGGGGCAACCUGGCUGGUUGAAGACCAGUCGUGCGCAAGCACAGCAACCCGGAGAACUGAAACAUCUAAGUACCCGGAGGAAGAGAAAACAAUAGUGAUUCCGCAAGUAGUGGCGAGCGAACGCGGAUUAGCCCAAACCUCAUGGCAAUAGUUAUGGGGGGUUGUAGGACUGAUAAAUUAAUUAUCUGCGAAGUGGAAGUUGUUUGGAAAACAACACCGUAGAGGGUGAAAGUCCCGUACACGCAGUUCGAUAAUUAGAGUCAGUAUCCUGAGUAGGGCGGGGCCAGUGGAACCCUGUCUGAAUCUGCCGGUACCAUCCGGUAAGGCUAAAUACUCCUGAGAGACCGAUAGUGAACCAGUACUGUGAAGGAAAGGUGAAAAGAACCCCAAGCAGGGGAGUGAAAAGAACCUGAAACCAUACGCCUACAAGCGGUCGAAGCCCUUCGGGGUGACGGCGUGCCUUUUGCAUAAUGAGCCUACGAGUUACUCUUCCCUAGCAAGUUUAAGGACUUCAGGUCCGUUAAGCGAAGCGAAAGCGAGUCUGAAUAGGGCGUCAAGCUAGUGGAGGUAGACGCGAAACCUGGUGAUCUACCCAUGGGCAGGUUGAAGUUCCGAUAGUCUCGGAAUGGAGGACCGAACCGGUACAUGUUGAAAAAUGUUCGGAUGACCUGUGGGUAGGGGUGAAAGGCUAAUCAAACCAGGAGAUAGCUCGUACUCCCCGAAAUGCAUUUAGGUGCAGCGUUGAGGUAGAGUAUCAUGGAGGUAGAGCUACCAAUAGGGCUAGGGGGCUUCACCGCCUACCAACCCCUGAUGAACUCCGAAUGCCAUGAUAUAUACUCAGCAGUGAGGCUGUGGGUGCUAAGGUCCGCAGCCAAAAGGGAAAGAACCCAGACCAUCAGCUAAGGUCCCCAAGUGUGGGCUAAGUUGAAUGAACGAGGUGGGGAUGCUAUGACAGCUAGGAUGUUGGCUUGGAAGCAGCCAUUCAUUUAAAGAGUGCGUAACAGCUCACUAGUCGAGCGUUCCUGCGCGGAAAAUAAUCGGGCAUUAAGUCCACCACCGAAGCUAUGGACCACGCCUUUGGCGUGGUGGUAGGGGAGCAUUCUAGUGCCGUAGAAGGUUUGCUGUGAGGCAAGCUGGAGGAGCUAGAAAAGCAAAUGUAGGCAUGAGUAACGAUAAAUGAGGUAAGAAACCUCAUCGCCGUAAGACUAAGGUUUCCGUGUUCGAUGUUAAUCAGAACCGGGUUAGUCGGGACCUAAGGCGUAGCCGAAAGGCGAAGUUAAUGGAAAACGGGUUAAUAUUCCCGUACCUGCUAUACACUAAAAAGGGGACGGAGAGUGGAAUUGGGUGCGCACCGACGGAUGUGCGUUGAAGCCUUCGGGCGAUAGUACACUAAUUGCCUUGCAUGCAGUGAUAAUCCCAUGAAAGCUCUUCCAAGAAAAGCCGAAGUAUAGCAGCUCGUACCGUAAACCGACACAGGUAGUCGAGGAGAGUAUCCUCAGGCGCUCGAGUGAUUCACGGCUAAGGAACUAGGCAAAAUCGACGCGUAACUUCGGGAGAAGCGUCGCUCCCCUUGUGGGAGCCGCAGUGAAAAGGCCCAGGCGACUGUUUAGCAAAAACACAGGACUCUGCCAACUCGAAAGAUGAAGUAUAGGGUCUGACACCUGCCCGGUGCUGGAAGGUUAAGGAAGGUACUUAGAUUUCGGUCGAAGGUAUUAACUGAAGCCCCAGUAAACGGCGGCCGUAACAAUAACGGUCCUAAGGUAGCGAAAUUCCUUGUCGGGUAAGUUCCGACCUGCACGAAUGGUGUAACGAUCUGGGCACUGUCUCAGCCGUGAGCUCGGUGAAAUUGAAGUAUCGGUGAAGAUGCCGAUUACCCGCAACGGG
RNAcentral lists this ribosomal RNA (1993 nucleotides) under Crepidula atrasolea. RNAcentral describes it as "bacterial LSU rRNA". It matches the Rfam family "Bacterial large subunit ribosomal RNA", at positions 10 to 2079 of the family's 2925-position model. The record is from RNAcentral. Lineage: Eukaryota; Metazoa; Mollusca; Gastropoda; Littorinimorpha; Calyptraeidae.